This 494-nucleotide ribosomal RNA is filed under the name uncultured bacterium. Its description in RNAcentral is "partial 16S ribosomal RNA". It matches the Rfam family "Bacterial small subunit ribosomal RNA", at positions 28 to 507 of the family's 1533-position model. The record is from RNAcentral.
GACGAACGCUGGCGGCGUGCUUAACACAUGCAAGUCGAACGGAAAGGCCUGCUUUCCCUUGUGGAUUGCGGGUACUCGAGUGGCGAACGGGUGAGUAACACGUGAGUGAUCUGCCCCCAACUUGGGUAUAAGCCUGGGAAACUGGGUCUAAUUCCCGAUAGGACUGCAGGGUGGUGCCUGUGGUGGAAAACGAUUUUCUAGUGGUUGGGGAUGAGCUCGCGGCCUAUCAGCUUGUUGGUGGGGUAAUGGCCUACCAAGGCGGCGACGGGUAGCCGGCCUGAGGGGGUGGACGGCCACAUUGGGACUGAGAUACGGCCCAGACUCCUACGGGAGGCAGCAGUGGGGAAUAGUGCACGAUGGGCGGAAGCCUGAUGCAGCGACGCAGCGUGGAGGAUGACGGGCUUCGGGUUGUAAACUCCUUUCGGCCGCGAGGAAGCCACCUGGUUGGAAGGGUGGUGACGGUAGUGGUAGAAGAAGCACCGGCUAACUACGUG